CCAUCUCCCAAGAGACCCAUAUCUAGAAAGCAAAGCUAUGGCCAGGGUCUUGGGGUCUGGAGAGAGCGAGAGAAGAGGCCACAGAUCAGGACCACUGUGCUAAACCGGCCAGGACAGGAGCCCAACAGCCAACAGGGGAUCCCUCACCACCGUCCACCUGCCAGGGCCACACGAGCAGUGCCCUCAGAGGGGGAUUACCAACACGACGACCCCUUCCCCGCAGCCCGAGCGCCGAGCGGCUCUGUGUCAGGGAUGGGCAGAUUUCAGCCUAGAUUCUUGGCCAGAGGGAGUACAAGGGGGUUUUUCGGAGUCGGUAUCUGCCUGGCUGUGCUUCCUCCUUCAUCAUGUGGUUUUAAAGAGAAGCCAUGAGGCCUGCAGGCCCCACUGGGCAGGAAAGAGGCACCGUGUGGUGGCUGGCAGGGAAGGGCGGCCCCCAGAGUGCGUGUGAAUGUGAGCAUCCCAUGAGUAUCCGUGUGUAAGCAUGUGUAAGACAGUGUGUGUAAGCAUGUGACUGCAUGUGUAAGCAUGUGACUGCAUGUGUAAGGCAUGUGUAAGACUGUGUGUGUAAGCAUGUGUAAGACCAUGUGUAAGACUGCGUGUGUAAGACCGUGUGUAAGACUGCGUGUGCAAGACCGUGUGUAAGACUGCGUGUGUAAGACCGUGUGUAAGACUGAAUGUGUAAGACCGCAUGUGUAAGACCGUGUGUAAGACUGCAUGUGUAAGACUGCAUGUGUAAGACUGUGUGUAAGACCGUGUGUAAGACUCCGUGUGUAAGACCGUGUGUAAGACUGCGUGUGUAAGACCGUGUGUAAGACCGUGUGUAAGACUGCGCGUGUAAGACUGUGUAAGACCGUGUGUAAGACCGUGUGUAAGACUGCAUGUGUAAGACCGUGUGUAAGACUGCAUGUGUAAGACCAUAUGUAAGACCGUGUGUAAGACUGCGUGUGUAAGACUGCGUGUGUAAGACCGUGUGUAAGACCGCUUGUGUAAGACUGCGUGUGUAAGACCAUGCGUAAGACCGUGUGUAAGACUGCUUGUGUAAGAUUGCGUGUGUAAGACCGUGUGUAAGACUGCGUGUGUAAGACCAUGCGUAAGGCCGUGUGUAAGACUGCGUGUGUAAGACUGUGUGUAAGACCGUGUGUAAGACUGCGUGUGUAAGACCGUGUGUAAGACCGUAAGACUGCGUGUGUAAGACCGUAAGACCGCGUGUAAGACUGCGUGUGUAAGACCGCGUGUAAGACUGCGUGUGUAAGGCCGCGUGUAAGACUGCGUGUGUAAGGCCGUGUGUAAGACCGGGUGUGUAAGACCGCGUGUAAGACUGCGUGUGUAAGACCGCGUGUAAGACCGCAUUUGUAAGACCGCGUGUAAGAUCGUGUGUAAGACUGCGUGUGUAAGACCGAGUGUGUAAGACUGCGUGUGUAAGGCUGCGUGUGUGGCUGCGUGUGUAAGGCUGCGUGUAAGACUGCGUGUGUGAGGCCGUGUGUAAGACUGCGUGUGUAAGGCCGUGCGUAAGACUGCGUGUGUAAGCAGAGGGCCCUGUUGGGAACCUGAAAAGGUGUCCAGGGCAACCUCAGCUGACCCCAGCCUCUAUGCGGCCUCUGGGUUGGGAAACGCUGUUUCUCUUCUGUCUGGAGACCCCUCAGGAGGAAGGGUCUCCCGUCUGCUGGGUGAGGGGCUGAAGUUCGGGCCCCCUUGCCUCCCUCCCUCAAGGGCAAGGCAGCGAAUGGCGCUCGGCUGCCCCGGGCUGCCCUCGUCUAGGCCCCAUGCGGGUUCCCUGGGGGCCUCCUGAUGCUGGCCUGGGUCUUUACUUUUGCGGCCCUCGGGCCCUGUGGGGACUCGGUCCCACCCAGCUGCACACCUCUCUAUGGGGCCAAGAUGUGGUCCUGGAGAUGCCCAAGAUGGGACCCACCGGGAGAAACUGCGCCAAGGGCAGGCUGGCCUCUACGCGGCGUUUCUUACAACUGCACACCCAGCCACGUGAUUUCAAGGAACAUUUCAGUGGAAAGAACACCCACUCCAAAAAUC
This 2025-nucleotide long non-coding RNA is filed under the name Homo sapiens (human). RNAcentral's name for it is "HSALNT0000702". The record is from RNAcentral. Lineage: Eukaryota; Metazoa; Chordata; Mammalia; Primates; Hominidae.